RNAcentral lists this ribosomal RNA (326 nucleotides) under uncultured bacterium. RNAcentral describes it as "bacterial SSU rRNA". It matches the Rfam family "Bacterial small subunit ribosomal RNA", at positions 28 to 334 of the family's 1533-position model. The record is from RNAcentral.
GAUGAACGCUGGCGGCGUGCUUAACACAUGCAAGUCGAACGGGGAUUAUACGCUGAUGCGAUUUCGGUCAAAUCUUGUGUAAUCCCAGUGGCGGACGGGUGAGUAACGCGUGGGUAACCUGCCUUACACCGGGGGAUAACACUUAGAAAUAGGUGCUAAUACCGCAUAAGCGCACGGUCCUGCAUGGGACAGUGUGAAAAACUCCGGGGGUGUAAGAUGGACCCGCGUCUGAUUAGCUUGUUGGCGGGGUAACGGCCCACCAAGGCGACGAUCAGUAGCCGGCCUGAGAGGGUGGACGGCCACAUUGGGACUGAGACACGGCCCAA